RNAcentral lists this non-coding RNA (26 nucleotides) under Cricetulus griseus (Chinese hamster). The record is from RNAcentral. Lineage: Eukaryota; Metazoa; Chordata; Mammalia; Rodentia; Cricetidae.
GGGAUGAAAAGGGUACAGAAGAGCAU